Molecule: small nucleolar RNA, 216 nt
Organism: Boleophthalmus pectinirostris (great blue-spotted mudskipper)
Lineage: Eukaryota; Metazoa; Chordata; Actinopteri; Gobiiformes; Gobiidae
Product: small nucleolar RNA U3
Exons: 1
Source: RefSeq, a predicted model, not a curated record
AAGACUAUACUUUCAGGGAUCAUUUCUAUAGUUCUUAACUUGAGAGAUGUGUUUCUAAAGUGUUGGUCUCGCUAACUACGAUGAUGAGUUGGUGACAUUCCUCCUUGAGCGCGAAACAGGCGGAGAGACUUGGAUUUAUCCUCAUGCUCUUCGCUCUUGAUGACCGUUCACUGUUUCCUUUGGAAGUAGCGAGGGGAGGAGUGUGAUCAGAGUAGU